Long non-coding RNA from Ostrea edulis (European flat oyster), 1201 nucleotides. RefSeq lists it as uncharacterized. Lineage: Eukaryota; Metazoa; Mollusca; Bivalvia; Ostreida; Ostreidae. The record is from RefSeq and is a predicted model, not a curated record. The transcript is spliced from 3 exons.
CGAUAGACUGGUCAUGAUAGCUCAGUUAGAGCACCUGUCUAGUAGUACACGGGUCUCGAUAGACUGGUCAUGGUAGCUCAGUUAGAGCACCUGUCUAGUAAUACACGGGUCUCGAUAGACUGGUCAUGGUAGCUCAGUUAGAGCACCUGUCUAGUAAUACAAGGGUCUCGAUAGACUGGUCAUGGUAGCUCAGUGAUUACAACACCUGACUAGUUGUAUAGGGGUCUUGGAUUCAAUUCUAAAUCAAACGAAAUACACAAUGUAAUAGACUGGACUCUAGUUCUGAAUUACAAACAGUUCGGUUUGAUAUGAAUACACUUUGUCUGUGUUGAUUUUGUAGGACUGUGGAGUGUCGUGAUGUUAUUGAUGGUCAACAGAAGACUGUGACCUUGAAUCUGAAGAUCUGUGAUGAAGACCGGACGUUUGGGGUCACUCUCUGUUACAGUACUACAAAUCUAAGAAAGUACUCAGUAAUAAUCAGUGUGAUACUCAGCCACAAAGAGGUUGUCUCUGAUGUCCACACAUAAACCUACUGGAAGUUCUAAAUGACAGUGAAUGUAACGGAGGAACUGUCCGUCCUGAUCUAGGAUGUGGAUACUCUGAGUGUUAAUGUCUGCUGUCAGGAUGUGACUCUGGCUGUCUGUAGUGAUGCCGACUGGAUAAAAUGAUUGCUCGGUAUUAGAGGGAUGACCAUUGUAUCUAAAUCGGAGUUUUCCUGACUGAUUGACCACCACUACUGCUCUAGCUGUAUUGUCAGCCACACAGAUAUCCAGGUUCUUGUUCUCACUGAGGUAUUUAAUGUUUCCACCCGAUGAGUAGAGAGGACGACCCUGAUCAUCAAACUGAAUGCUUUGUUUCUCUGUGGAGCCGGAGUAAUGCACGACUUUGGAUUGUUCUCCAUCAUCACUGUCCAUGGUAACCAGGAGGUCGUUAGCCGCGGUACAGCAGACAUAGAGAGGUCCCCACCCCUGUAGUGUGAUCACGAUUGCGUUGAGUGGAACAAUGAACCUCCGGAUAUCUAUGUACAUUUACACGUGUAGGAUUAAACUUCUGUUGCACUCGCGCAUGCGAGCUUCUCCUAUAUUGGGUGUUUGCGUUUUAUUUCAUGAAUAGUUUAGGAAUAUACUGUCCGCUCAAUAUCUUGAGAAUCCUUUGCUUGACAGACAUUAAACCUGGUACACUGGUGCAUCUUGAGGAGAAG